Mercenaria mercenaria is the source of this 699-nucleotide long non-coding RNA. RefSeq lists it as uncharacterized. The record is from RefSeq and is a predicted model, not a curated record. NCBI's taxonomy places the organism in Eukaryota, Metazoa, Mollusca, Bivalvia, Venerida, Veneridae. The transcript has 3 exons.
UUCCUCAUAGUUUUUUUUUAUACUAUACUGUACUUAUUUCAGAUGAAGGUAUAAAUUUAUCCAAAGAAAUAAUGGGACAAUGAAUGCUAAAAUUGCCAAGAAGUAGACUGCUAUAUUUACACACCAUUUUAUACAGUUACAGUAUGAUAUGAUGGACAAAAAUCCCUCAAUGCAGCCAGUUCUGGAGCUUUGGCUAGACUGUGAACAGUAGACAUCAAAAAGAUGAUCAUCUGAAGGGGCCAGAAGGGCCACAAUUGUUUGAAGCACUGGUCAACAAAAACUGAACUAUUUGAUGGAUCAUACAUGUGCAGAAUGUACUACCAUAUUUCCAGAAUCAGAGAAAUAGAAAUAUCAUGUAUUAGGGAGAAAGAAAAGUAUGCAUCAUGUAUAAAGAAUUGCCUAAGAAUAAUUUGCAAAAUACAUUGAAAUCUCACAAUUGCUAAUUGCACAAUGCAUAUGGAAGUUAAGAAAGGUGUACUCUUCUGGAAAGUAUGUGUCCAGUGCAACAUUUUUUUUUCAAUUUUAUGAGCAUAAUUCUACAUAAAAAUUGUAACAUGGCUACAGGGAUAAUACAAAAGGUGUAAUCUUAUUUCCAAACACAUUGGGGGAAUCAGAGAAGAAAUAUCAAGAAUUAGGGAAAAAGAAAUAAUUGUCAUGAAUGAAGAACUUGCUUUUUAAUAAUUUACAAAAUACUUUGAA